GUAGGUGGCAAGCGUUAUCCGGAAUUAUUGGGCGUAAAGCGCGCGUAGGCGGUUUUUUAAGUCUGAUGUGAAAGCCCACGGCUCAACCUUGGAGGGUCAUUGGAAACUGGAAAACUUGAGUGCAGAAGAGGAAAGUGGAAUUCCAUGUGUAGCGGUGAAAUGCGCAGAGAUAUGGAGGAACACCAGUGGCGAAGGCGACUUUCUGGUCUGUAACUGACGCUGAUGUGCGAAAGCGUGGGGGGAUCAAACAGGAUUAGAUACCCUGGUAGUCCACGCCGUAAACGAUGAGUGCUAAGUGUUAGGGGGUUUUCCGCCCCGUUAGUGCUGCAGCUAACGCAUUAAGCACUCCGCCUGGGAGUACGACCGCAAGGUUG
This 374-nucleotide ribosomal RNA is filed under the name uncultured organism. RNAcentral's name for it is "partial 16S ribosomal RNA". It matches the Rfam family "Bacterial small subunit ribosomal RNA", at positions 527 to 896 of the family's 1533-position model. The record is from RNAcentral.